RNAcentral lists this ribosomal RNA (468 nucleotides) under uncultured bacterium. RNAcentral's name for it is "partial 16S ribosomal RNA". It matches the Rfam family "Bacterial small subunit ribosomal RNA", at positions 28 to 507 of the family's 1533-position model. The record is from RNAcentral.
GACGAACGCUGGCGGCGUGCUUAACACAUGCAAGUCGAACGGACAGGCCCGGCUUUUGUUGGUUGCUCGAUUGGCGAACGGGGGAGUAACACGUGAGUAACCUGCCCUUGACUGUGUGAUAACUUCAGGAAACUGGGGCGAAUACCGGAUAGGAUCUCCUGCUGCAUGGUGUGGGUUGGAAAGUUUCGGCGGUUGGGGCUGGACUCGCGGCUUAUCAGCUUGUUGGUGUGGUAGUUGCUUACCAGGGCUUUGACGGGUAGCCGGCCUGAGAGGGUGACCGGCCACCUUGGGACUGAGAUACGGACCAGAAUCCUACGGGAGGCAGCAGGGGGGAAUAUUGCACAAUGGGGGGACGUCUGAUGUAGCAACGCCGCGUGCGGGAUGACGGCCUUCGGGUUGUAAACCGCUUUCGACUGUGCCGAAGCGUGCGUGACGGUAAUGGGUAAAGAAGCAACGGCUAACUACGUG